RNAcentral lists this ribosomal RNA (253 nucleotides) under uncultured bacterium. Its description in RNAcentral is "partial 16S ribosomal RNA". It matches the Rfam family "Bacterial small subunit ribosomal RNA", at positions 524 to 776 of the family's 1533-position model. The record is from RNAcentral.
UACGUAGGGUGCAAGCGUUGUCCGGAAUUAUUGGGCGUAAAGAGCUCGUAGGCGGCUUGUCGCGUCGACCGUGAAAACUCGCAGCUCAACUGCGAGCCUGCGGUCGAUACGGGCAGGCUAGAGUUCGGUAGGGGAGACUGGAAUUCCUGGUGUAGCGGUGAAAUGCGCAGAUAUCAGGAGGAACACCGAUGGCGAAGGCAGGUCUCUGGGCAUUAACUGACGCUGAGGAGCGAAAGCAUGGGGAGCGAACAGG